RNAcentral lists this ribosomal RNA (741 nucleotides) under Salmonella enterica. RNAcentral's name for it is "partial 23S ribosomal RNA". It matches the Rfam family "Bacterial large subunit ribosomal RNA", at positions 2193 to 2925 of the family's 2925-position model. The record is from RNAcentral. Lineage: Bacteria; Pseudomonadati; Pseudomonadota; Gammaproteobacteria; Enterobacterales; Enterobacteriaceae.
UGAAAUACCACCCUUUAAUGGCUGGUGUUCUAACGUGGGCCCGUGAACCGGGUUGCGGACAGUGUCUGGUGGGUAGUUUGACUGGGGCGGUCUCCUCCUAAAGAGUAACGGAGGAGCACGAAGGUUGGCUAAUCCUGGUCGGACAUCAGGAGGUUAGUGCAAUGGCAUAAGCCAGCUUGACUGCGAGCGUGACGGCGCGAGCAGGUGCGAAAGCAGGUCAUAGUGAUCCGGUGGUUCUGAAUGGAAGGGCCAUCGCUCAACGGAUAAAAGGUACUCCGGGGAUAACAGGCUGAUACCGCCCAAGAGUUCAUAUCGACGGCGGUGUUUGGCACCUCGAUGUCGGCUCAUCACAUCCUGGGGCUGAAGUAGGUCCCAAGGGUAUGGCUGUUCGCCAUUUAAAGUGGUACGCGAGCUGGGUUUAGAACGUCGUGAGACAGUUCGGUCCCUAUCUGCCGUGGGCGCUGGAAGAUUGAGGGGGGCUGCUCCUAGUACGAGAGGACCGGAGUGGACGCAUCACUGGUGUUCGGGUUGUCAUGCCAAUGGCACUGCCCGGUAGCUACAUGCGGAAGAGAUAAGUGCUGAAAGCAUCUAAGCACGAAACUUGCCCCGAGAUGAAUCUUCCCUGAGCCUUUAAGGCUCCUGAAGGAACGUUGAAGACGACGACGUUGAUAGGCCGGGUGUGUAAGCGCAGCGAUGCGUUGAGCUAACCGGUACUAAUGAACCGUGAGGCUUAACCUUACA